UAAAUAAAUCUUAUUAAAUUUGUUAAUUGGUUAUUUAAUUAAUAAAAAUAAUUUUAUUAGAAGAGUUUUUGUAGUUUUUAAUGAUAAAAUAAUUUUAAUAAUAGUGUAUUAGUAUUGUGAAAGAAUGAUGAAAUAAAUUGAAAAUAAAUUAAAUUUAAAGAAAAUUUUAUUUAUUGUACCUUGUGUAUCAGGGUUUAUUAAUUAAAAAAUAUUUAUUAAUAUUUUUCUCGAAUUUAAGAGAGCUAAUUAAUUAUAUUAGUUAUUGUGGCAUAAAUAUUAAUAAUAAUUAAUUAGAAAUGAAACGUUAUUCGUUCUUAAAUAUAUCUAGUUUUUUAAGAAAUAAAUUUAAUUUAUAUACUUUUAAUUGUAAUAAUUUAAUUUAUUAAUUUAUUAUUUGAAAGUAUAAAUAUUUUAAGGGAUAAGCUUUAAAAUAAAUUUUUAUAAAAUUAUUUAAUAUAAAAUAAUUGUAGGUUUAGAAAUAGCCAUUAAUUGAAAGUAUGUUAUAAUAUAUUUUUUGUAAAAUAUUAUUUAUUUAAUUUUUAAAUUUUUAUUAAAACAUUAAUUUUAAUUAUAAAAAUUAAGAGAUUAUGAUAAAAUUAGUAUAUUUUAAUUUAUAAAUAAAUAAAAAUGAAAGGUUUUUUAAAGGAACUCGGCAAAUUAAAUAUUCGCCUGUUUAUCAAAAACAUGUCUUUUUGAUUUUAUUUAAAGUCUAACCUGCCCACUGAAAUUAUUUAAAGGGCCGCGGUAUUUUGACCGUGCAAAGGUAGCAUAAUCAUUAGUUUUUUAAUUGAAAGCUUGUAUGAAUGGUUGGACGAAAUAUUGACUGUCUUUAUUGAAUUUAUAAUAGAAUUUAAUUUUUUUGUUAAAAAGCAAAAAUAAAUUUAAAGGACGAGAAGACCCCAUAGAGCUUUAUAUUUUUAUAAUAUAAUUUAUAAAGGAUUAUUUAAAUUUUAUUAAAAGAAUUAUUUUGUUGGGGUGACAAUAAAAUUUAUUGAACUUUUAUUAUUUUUUAACAUUGAUUUAUGAAUAAUUGAUCCAAUUUUAUUGAUUAGAAAAUUAAGUUACCUUGGGGAUAACAGCGUAAUUUUUUUAAAGAGUUCAUAUCGACAAAAAAGAUUGCGACCUCGAUGUUGGAUUAAGAGUAAUUUUAGGUGUAGAAGUUUAAAGUAUUGGGUCUGUUCGACCCUUAAAUUCUUACAUGAUCUGAGUUCAAACCGGCGUAAGCCAGGUUGGUUUCUAUCCUUAAAAAAUUAAAAUAUUUUAGUACGAAAGGACCAAAUAUUUAAUAUAUUAAUAUUUUAAUUAAUGAAUAUAAUUAAUUAU
Molecule: ribosomal RNA, 1323 nt
Filed under: Tipula abdominalis
Lineage: Eukaryota; Metazoa; Arthropoda; Insecta; Diptera; Tipulidae
Description: 16S ribosomal RNA
Rfam family: Archaeal large subunit ribosomal RNA (bases 623-1323)
Source: RNAcentral